AGAAUAUAAUUUUUGCCAUCUUAAUUAUAUUGUUAAGUGUGUUGUUGGCAUGCUGUCUCAUUGAAAUAUACCUCAGAUCCUCUUUUAUCUUAUUCAAGAUUUUCAGAAAAGUAAUUUAAAAAUCUGUUAAAGGUUUAUUCUCUAAAUAAAUAGAAUAAUUGGUCCAGUGAUCAAUGAAGAAUGUAAAUGAGAUGUGGUAAAAAUGCCAAUGAGAUGUGGUUAGAAUGCCAAUGAGAUGUGCUUAGAAUGCCAAUGAGAUGUGGUAAAAAUGCCAAUGAGAUGUGGUUAAAAUGCCAAUGAGAUGUGGUAAAAAUGCCAAUGAGAUGUGGUAAAAAUGCCAAUGAGAUGUGCUUAGAAUGUAAAUGAGAUGUGCUUAGAAUGCCAAUGAGAUGUGGUUAGAAUGCCAAUGAGAUGUGGUUAGAAUGUCAAUGAGAUGUGGUUAGAAUGCCAAUAAGAUGUGCUUAAAAUGCCAAUGAGAUGUGCUUAGAAUGCCAAUGAGAUGUGCUUAGAAUGCCAAUGAGUUGUGUUAAUACAACUAAUGAGAUGCGCUAAGAAUGCAAAUGAAAUGUGGUAAAAAUGCCAAUGAGAUGUGGUUAUAAAGCUAAAGAUAUGCUGUAAUAAUGCUAAUGAGAUGUGGUAGUAAAGCUAAUGAUAUGUGGUAAUAAUGCUAAUGAGAUAUGGUUAUAAAGCUAAAGAUAUGUUGUAAUAAUGCUAAUGAGAUGUGGUAAUAAAGCUAAUGAGAUGUGGUUAUAAAGCUGAUGAGAUGCGCUAAGAAUGCAAAUGAGAUGUGGUUAUAAAGCUGAUGAGAUGCGCUUAGAAUGCAAAUGAGAUGUGGUAAUGGAGCUAAUGAGAUGCUGUAAGAAUGCAAAUUAGAUGUGGUAAUAGAGCUAAUGAUAUGUGCUAAGAAAGCUAAUGAGAUGUGGUAAUAAAGCUAAUGAGAUGUGGUAAUAAUGCCAAUGAGAUGUGGUAAUAAUGCCAAUGAGAUGUGGUUAGAAUUCCAAUGAGAUGUGGUUAGAAUGCCAAUGAGAUUUAGUAAGAAUGCCAAUGAGAACUAUCCACCAGAGAUUGAGCCACAAGGCUGCAAGAACUAUCUUUCAUGUGAAUUUUGUGUAUACUUUGUAAGCUCCCCUACAGCUGAUAGUUAACAUUUUCAUCAAAUUAUGAUUUAAAUUAUCCUUUCUUUAAAUAAAAUUAUUUGGUAGUUAAACUUUUUUAAAUAAACAUUGAAAAAGCUAAAUUUUCAGAAAAAAUUACAUUAAAUAGGCACUUUUGAAUUUUUUGCCUAUUUAAAAAAAAAUAUACCAGUAAUGGCACAAGGAUAGAAGAUGUGUGGAAUCAAAUAGAUAACAACUAUAGUGAUAAUGAAAUAUUCUAAUAAUAACCAGUUUUUUUAUGUCUUGACCUAAUGGACUUAUUGUAUGAUGAUAUAUGCGACCAGUUAGAAUAGUGGACAAUGAAAUAUUCAAACAUGGAACUGACUGAAGUCAGAAUUGAAACCAGCAAGUGAAUUAUUUACAACGGCCUUGGAACCAGCAAGUGAAUUAUUGACAUUUAUUUUGAUGUGACCAGUAUUCAUGUGGAUGGACAGUACUAGUGGACUAUAAACUGAUAAAUCUCACAGAAAUGCACAUCACAACUGAGUCUGAAGCUGUUACAUACAAAAGACAAGAUAUCCAGGAAAUAAGAAUUGUAUGUGAUCUAUUUAAAGAUCUUAGGACAGUAGGACCUGGAAGUACUAUAUUACCAACUUCAAGAUUAACUGAGCUUGAGAAAUUACAAAUGAACUGAUACAGAAGAAGAGACUUUGCCAUGUGGAUGAACUUGGAAACAAUUAUUGACAAACAAUAUAGUGUAUUAGUAUUCUUGUAAAAAUCAAUAGAGAGAGAGAGAGAGAGGAAGGAUAGGAGAGAGUCAGUUGUAAAGAUUUACAGACAUGUCGAUUACAUUAGAAUUUCAGAGGCCUACAGUUCUCCCUUAAAUAUUCAUAGUUAAUACAUGAAGUAGUUAAAGUAGAGGACUUUAGUGUGACCAGUGAGAACAAUCAGGCAGCUGCCAUUGGUUUAAAUCUCUUUUUUCGAAGAUGUUUUGGUUACAUUAGAAUAAAUCUGUGAGGAAUGACAAAAAAAAUGUAAAAAAAAUAAUUUGUGGUAUUUUGUACAGUUUCAUUAUGCAAUCUUGAAUACAUUUAUGAUUACUAUUUAUAAAGAAGUAUUAUCAUUAGAAUGAGGAUGGAAAAUGUUUAAACAUUUAUUUGAGACAAGAGUUUUGCAUUAUUUCAUUAAAAUAAUUAAAUUCUUUUUCUGUGAAUGAAGGACAAACAGGGAAAACAGACAAAGCUGCUAUUCUAUGAAUUUCAAAUUGUAUUUAUUUACAUUUGAUUGAUUAGUUGAAGAUAAACUACAAGUAUUCAGCAUAGUACAAAAUUAAGGAUGCACUGCAAGUGUAUAUUAUCUUUAUAGUUAUCAUCACACUAUGUCCAAUCUAGAUGUACAACACUCUUUUUUAUAGUGUUCUGUAAAUUAUUUAACAGGAACACCAGUUGUGAUGAAUGGGAAGACUGGCAGGCUGAGAAAUGGGUAUAAGGGGAGGGAAUACCCCUGCUUAUCUUUUCAUACUGGUUAGUUCCUUUGGUAAAGGUUUUGUACAAAUGUUGUUCAUAUCAGAUGUAUACGAUUUGAAGAGAGUUGUUAUUUGGAGCUCUGUAAAAAAAAAAAAAAAAAGAAAAAAAAAAAAAAAAAAAAAAAAAUCAGAGUUCUAGAUAAUAACUGGGUGGUAUGAAAUGUGGGUUAAAUAUUUUCGGUAUAUUUACAAUGAUUUUUUUUUUUUUUUAUGCAUCUGAUAUUUUUUGUGUAUAAAAUGUUUUGUUAUUUUUUACAGAAUUGCUUUAGUUGCCUUCCUGACUAACAUUUAUUGGUGAAUGGAGAGACUAGCAGGCUGAGAUUGAGGCGUAAGGGGAGGGAUUACCCCUGCUUUUCUCUUCAUACUUGUAAAUUCUGUCACUGCACGGAAGGUCAACAAUUAAGAAUAUAUAAGUUAUCAUUUUUUUAUGUAUCAAUGUAAUUUAGAUAAGUUAUAUCAGAUGUAUAUAAAGUAAGAUGAAAGUAUUCUUUAGAGCUCUGUAAAAAAAAAAGCUUGUAAACAGAGGUCUAGAUAAUGCAUUAAGGGGUUUGGUUUGGCAUGGGGAUUUCAAAUUUUAUUUACAAGUCAUCAUCUACAAAAAUGCAUCUGAUAUUAUUUGCCCCAAGCCCAAUUUUGUGUCCCAAAUAUAAUGACUACAGAAUAGUGGUGACAGCUUGGUCAACACCCUUAUUUUAAGUUUGAUUCACCCCUCCUUUCGUCAACCCACCCCACCCCACCCCCACCCUUUUAAUAAGUAGUUAUAGGUUAAGGUUUCUUAUUGUGAUUAAUGAUUGGUUGAUUGAUUUUAAUUAAGUGUCACAGAAUUAUUAAGAUACUAAUUUCUGUGUAACAAGAUUAAUCUCCAAUAUUUGAAGGUGUUUUUGAUCAAGUUUUAUUAAACUCAAAAUGUUUAGUAUUUCAUCAGCUCUGUCGAAUACAAAAUAGAAAUUUACCUCUAUAGAUAUAUCUGCAUUUUAUAUGCUACGAAAUUUUGCCUGUUUUACAAAGAUUUAUCUAACAAAAUGAAAAACCCUGUCCAUGAAAUUGAUUUAAUUGAACUUUCACACUGUUGAUAAUAACCCUGUUUGUUCAUGACAAUUUUACAUGUGGUAGUCUCGAUGUAAUAUAUAGUUCUUCCACUAACAACCCUGUUUGUUCAUGACAAUUUUGCAUGUGGUAGUCUCGAUGUAAUAUAUAGUUCUUCCACUAACAACCCUGUUUGUUCAUGACAAUUUUACAUGUGGUAGUCUCGAUGUAAUAUAUAGUUCUUCCACUAACAACCCUGUUUGUUCAUGACAAUUGUACUCUUGAAAUAUCUGUUACAAUUACACACCCAUGCUUUUUCCCUAUAGGGUUUUUUAAUGCAGGGUGCAUGUUUUUCUAUGUUACCAUAUGUUUGUCUCUCUUUUUAAUAAAGAACAAUUACAUAGAAA
Long non-coding RNA from Mytilus californianus (California mussel), 4052 nucleotides. RefSeq lists it as uncharacterized. The transcript is spliced from 3 exons. The record is from RefSeq and is a predicted model, not a curated record. NCBI's taxonomy places the organism in Eukaryota, Metazoa, Mollusca, Bivalvia, Mytilida, Mytilidae.